Molecule: ribosomal RNA, 932 nt
Filed under: Escherichia coli
Lineage: Bacteria; Pseudomonadati; Pseudomonadota; Gammaproteobacteria; Enterobacterales; Enterobacteriaceae
Description: partial 23S ribosomal RNA
Rfam family: Bacterial large subunit ribosomal RNA
Source: RNAcentral
CCGGUAAACGGCGGCCGUAACUAUAACGGUCCUAAGGUAGCGAAAUUCCUUGUCGGGUAAGUUCCGACCUGCACGAAUGGCGUAAUGAUGGCCAGGCUGUCUCCACCCGAGACUCAGUGAAAUUGAACUCGCUGUGAAGAUGCAGUGUACCCGCGGCAAGACGGAAAGACCCCGUGAACCUUUACUAUAGCUUGACACUGAACAUUGAGCCUUGAUGUGUAGGAUAGGUGGGAGGCUUUGAAGUGUGGACGCCAGUCUGCAUGGAGCCGACCUUGAAAUACCACCCUUUAAUGUUUGAUGUUCUAACGUUGGCCCGUUAUCCGGGUUGCGGACAGUGUCUGGUGGGUAGUUUGACUGGGGCGGUCUCCUCCUAAAGAGUAACGGAGGAGCACGAAGGUUGGCUAAUCCUGGUCGGACAUCAGGAGGUUAGUGCAAUGGCAUAAGCCAGCUUGACUGCGAGCGUGACGGCGCGAGCAGGUGCGAAAGCAGGUCAUAGUGAUCCGGUGGUUCUGAAUGGAAGGGCCAUCGCUCAACGGAUAAAAGGUACUCCGGGGAUAACAGGCUGAUACCGCCCAAGAGUUCAUAUCGACGGCGGUGUUUGGCACCUCGAUGUCGGCUCAUCACAUCCUGGGGCUGAAGUAGGUCCCAAGGGUAUGGCUGUUCGCCAUUUAAAGUGGUACGCGAGCUGGGUUUAGAACGUCGUGAGACAGUUCGGUCCCUAUCUGCCGUGGGCGCUGGAGAACUGAGGGGGGCUGCUCCUAGUACGAGAGGACCGGAGUGGACGCAUCACUGGUGUUCGGGUUGUCAUGCCAAUGGCACUGCCCGGUAGCUAAAUGCGGAAGAGAUAAGUGCUGAAAGCAUCUAAGCACGAAACUUGCCCCGAGAUGAGUUCUCCCUGACUCCCUGAGAGUCCUGAAGGAACGUUGAAGACG